RNAcentral lists this ribosomal RNA (460 nucleotides) under uncultured bacterium. Its description in RNAcentral is "partial 16S ribosomal RNA". It matches the Rfam family "Bacterial small subunit ribosomal RNA", at positions 338 to 795 of the family's 1533-position model. The record is from RNAcentral.
CCUACGGGGGGCAGCAGUGAGGAAUAUUGGUCAAUGGACGAGAGUCUGAACCAGCCAAGUAGCGUGAAGGAUGACUGCCCUAUGGGUUGUAAACUUCUUUUAUAAAGGAAUAAAACGAGGCACGUGUGCCUUUUUGCAUGUACUUUAUGAAUAAGGAUCGGCUAACUCCGUGCCAGCAGCCGCGGUAAUACGGAGGAUCCGAGCGUUAUCCGGAUUUAUUGGGUUUAAAGGGAGCGUAGAUGGGUUGUUAAGUCAGUUGUGAAAGGGUGCGGCUCAACCGUAAAAUUGCAAUUGAUACUGGCAGUCUUGAGUACAGUUGAGGUAGGCGGAAUGCGUGGUGUAGCGGUGAAAUGCUUAGAUAUCACGAAGAACCCCGAUUGCGAAGGCAGCUUACUAAACUGUGACUGACAUUGAUGCUCGAAAGUGUGGGUAUCAAACAGGAUUAGAUACCCCUGUAGUC